GAUGAACGCUGGCGGCGUGCCUAACACAUGCAAGUCGAGCGAUCUUCUUCGGAAGAGAGCGGCGGACGGGUGAGUAACGCGUGGGUAACCUGCCCUGUACACACGGAUAACAUACCGAAAGGUAUGCUAAUACGGGAUAACAUAAGAAAGUCGCAUGGCUUUCUUAUCAAAGCUUUUGCGGUACAGGAUGGACCCGCGUCUGAUUAGCUAGUUGGUAAGGUAACGGCUUACCAAGGCGACGAUCAGUAGCCGACCUGAGAGGGUGAUCGGCCACAUUGGAACUGAGACACGGUCCAAACUCCUACGGGAGGCAGCAGUGGGGAAUAUUGCACAAUGGGCGAAAGCCUGAUGCAGCAACGCCGCGUGAGCGAUGAAGGCCUUCGGGUCGUAAAGCUCUGUCCUCAAGGAAGAUAAUGACGGUACUUGAGGAGGAAGCCCCGGCUAACUACGUGCCAGCAGCCGCGGUAAUACGUAGGGGGCUAGCGUUAUCCGGAAUUACUGGGCGUAAAGGGUGCGUAGGCGGUCUUUCAAGUCAGAAGUGAAAGGCUACGGCUCAACCGUAGUAAGCUUUUGAAACUGUAAGACUUGAGUGCAGGAGAGGAGAGUGGAAUUCCUAGUGUAGCGGUGAAAUGCGUAGAUAUUAGGAGGAACACCAGUUGCGAAGGCGGCUCUCUGGACUGU
This 681-nucleotide ribosomal RNA is filed under the name uncultured Clostridium sp. RNAcentral's name for it is "bacterial SSU rRNA". It matches the Rfam family "Bacterial small subunit ribosomal RNA", at positions 28 to 737 of the family's 1533-position model. The record is from RNAcentral. Lineage: Bacteria; Bacillati; Bacillota; Clostridia; Eubacteriales; Clostridiaceae.